GACGAACGCUGGCGGCGUGCUUAACACAUGCAAGUCGAACGGAAAGGCCCUGCUUUUGUGGGGUGCUCGAGUGGCGAACGGGUGAGUAACACGUGAGUAACCUGCCCUUGACUUUGGGAUAACUUCAGGAAACUGGGGCUAAUACCGGAUAGGAGCUCCUGCUGCAUGGUGGGGGUUGGAAAGUUUCGGCGGUUGGGGAUGGACUCGCGGCUUAUCAGCUUGUUGGUGGGGUAGUGGCUUACCAAGGCUUUGACGGGUAGCCGGCCUGAGGGGGUGACCGGCUACAUUGGGACUGAGAUACGGCCCAGACUCCUACGGGAGGCAGCAGUGGGGAAUAUUGCACAAUGGGCGGAAGCCUGAUGCAGCAACGCCGCGUGCGGGAUGAAGGCCUUCGGGUUGUAAACCGCUUUCGCCUGUGACGAAGCGUGAGUGACGGUAAUGGGUAAAGAAGCACCGGCUAACUACGUG
RNAcentral lists this ribosomal RNA (468 nucleotides) under uncultured bacterium. RNAcentral describes it as "partial 16S ribosomal RNA". It matches the Rfam family "Bacterial small subunit ribosomal RNA", at positions 28 to 507 of the family's 1533-position model. The record is from RNAcentral.